Molecule: ribosomal RNA, 304 nt
Filed under: uncultured bacterium
Lineage: Bacteria
Description: bacterial SSU rRNA
Rfam family: Bacterial small subunit ribosomal RNA
Source: RNAcentral
GCUCAGAACGAACGCUGGCGGCGUGCUUACACAUGCAAGUCGAACGAACCUUCGGGUUAGUGGCGGACGGGUGAGUAACGCGUGAGAAUCUGCCCUCAGGAGGGGGAUAACGGUUGGAAACGACCGCUAAUACCCCAUAUGCCGAGAGGUGAAAAGAAAUUCGCCUGAGGAUGAGCUCGCGUCUGAUUAGCUAGUUGGUGUGGUAAUGGCGCACCAAGGCUUCGAUCAGUAGCUGGUCUGAGAGGAUGAUCAGCCACACUGGGACUGAGACACGGCCCAGACUCCUACGGGAGGCAGCAGUGGG